This 336-nucleotide unclassified non-coding RNA is filed under the name soil metagenome. Its description in RNAcentral is "partial contains 5.8S ribosomal RNA, internal transcribed spacer 2, and large subunit ribosomal RNA". The stretch from base 1 to 120 matches the Rfam family "5.8S ribosomal RNA", at positions 35 to 154 of the family's 154-position model. The record is from RNAcentral.
GAUGAAGAACGCAGCGAAAUGCGAUAAGUAGUGUGAAUUGCAGAAUUCAGUGAAUCAUCGAAUCUUUGAACGCACAUUGCGCCCCUCGGUAUUCCGUGGGGCAUGCCUGUUCGAGCGUCAUCUACACCCUCAAGCUCUGCUUGGUGUUGGGCGUCUGACCCGCCUCCGCGCGUGGACUCGCCCCAAAUUCAUUGGCAGCGGUCCUUGCCUCCUCUCGCGCAGCACAUUGCGCUUCUCGAGGGGCUACGGCUCGCGUCCAACAAGCACAUUUACCGUCUUUGACCUCGGAUCAGGUAGGGAUACCCGCUGAACUUAAGCAUAUCAAUAAGCGGAGGA